This is a long non-coding RNA of Varanus komodoensis (Komodo dragon), 4724 nucleotides long. RefSeq lists it as uncharacterized. The record is from RefSeq and is a predicted model, not a curated record. The transcript has 2 exons. NCBI's taxonomy places the organism in Eukaryota, Metazoa, Chordata, Lepidosauria, Squamata, Varanidae.
UAAUGGGAUUUGCAGUUAGAUCUUUUUUGUUUUCACCAUACCUUUUCUGGUGAGCCUUAGGACACAAUCCUAUCCAGCCCCAUGGCCUUGAUGCAUGGGAGCCUCUGAACCUGGAAUAAGGUACAGCAACAGUGAUCUCCAAAGUGGUGGUACUUUCUAAUAAGCAUUUUGUUUAGAUGGCUGUUUUCAGUGGUCUAGAUUUAGCACUGGGGAAGGGAAGGAGACUGGGACACUGAUUAGAAUCAGCAUAAAUCCAAGUAUGCACCACUGGCCUCCUCCCUACUCUGAGGCCUAAUUGUAACCUGCAAGGUGUGGGGAAGCAGCCUGGGUGGUUCUUUCCAUGUGGGUGCAAGGUGGGUAGAGCAGGGGCUUGGCCCUCAACGUCCUUCUCCAAGUUUGCAGGAAUUCAGGGCUUUGAAUCCUGUGGCCUCCCAAAUGCUAUCCCAACAUCCUAGACAGCAUAAGGAAAAGUGUGGUGCUCAUUUUUCUUUCAGACAAUUUCAAUACAGAUUCCUGCCUUCUGCGAAGUCAAAACUACUUAUAUAUAGUAUUGAAUUGGAACAUAAAGCUGUGCCUUGCCAAGUAUGCAUAUACAGAACUUACGUCAUCUACAAGUACCUGAAAGGCUGUCACAAAGAGGAAGGACAAGAUCUCAGUCAUCUUAAAGAGAGAACAUGGAAUAAUGAACACAAGUUGCAGUAAACUAGCUAUCAGGAAAGAUUUCAAGCUAGAUACCAGGAAAAGUAUCCUAACUCAGAUCCAUAUGACAGUGGAACAAGUUGCCUAGAGAGGUCAUGGGCUGUCUCAACCCAAAGACAUUCAAGAUGAAACUGGACAGUCAUCUGAGUGGGAAGGUAUAAAUUGGUGUCCUGCAACAGCAGGGGAUUGGACCUGAUCACCUUGGCCCCUUUCAACUCUACUAUGAUUCUUUAUACAUUAUUGCCAAACCAGUGCCAAAUCCCAUUGGUCUGGAAGAUGUAUGUUUGUACUGAGGAAGUUUCCUGAAAAAAGAACCAUAUGGGUCAUGGACAGUGUCUAGAGAGUUAUAAGCUCAUUAAUAUUUCCAGCUCCAAGGCUAGAAAACAGCAACAUCUUCAGAGCUGGGGAUCUGCUCUCAAUGUCCUCCCCUUUCCUAGAAGCUGGCAUGGAAAAGACCACACUAGUUGCCUCUUGAGAUCAUAAAAGUGAGCUUGGAGAAAGAGUGCAAAGGACAUUCCAGGAUGGUAGGGAGGGAAGGAAGCUGGUGCCACCAAGUUAUGACAUCUUAAUGGUGCCUCAGCCUUCUUCCUUCCUCCUCUGAACUGCUGCAGAUUUAUAUAUUUAUUUAUGACGCUUGUAUGCUGCCCAAGGGCUCUCUGAGCAGCUCACAAACAACAAUGGCAUAGAGAAUAAAACAACAAAUUUAAAACUAAUACCCCAUCAUAAAACUAAAAGUUUGCAUGGGAACAAGAGACAAUCCACAUGAUAACAAAGCAAGCAGUAAAAAGACAUCAUAAAACCAUAAAUUAUGCUAAAAUAGGUAUGAAGUAAAAAUAUCACCUGGUGACAAAAACUGAGUAAUGAGGGUGCAGGUUGAGCCUCUUUAGGAAGGGCAUUCCAAGGAUAAGACACAGUAACAGAAAAAGCCCUUUUCCUUCAUUUGGGGUAGGGGAGCCCACAUAGAAGGGCAUCCAGAGAAGAUCUUAAGGGUCCAGUAAAGAUACAUGGAGACUGGUGUUCCUUCAGAUAUCCUAGCCCCGUGCCAUUUAGGGCUUCAUAUGUUAAUGCAAGCAAUUGGAAUUGGGCCUGGGCACAGGCAGCCAAUGCAGCUGACAGAGGACUAGCUUGAUGUGUUCUCUAGGACAAGUUCUCAUUAACAGCCACACUGCUCUGUUUUAAUUAGUUGAAGUGUCCAGUUCGUUUUCAAAGGCAGCCCCACAUAGAGUGCAUUAAAGUAAUCCAGGCAAGAGGUUACAAAUGCAUGGAUGACUGUGGCUAUGCUCCAUUCAUCUAAGUAGGAAUGUAGCUGAUAAAUCAACCUGAGCUGAUGAACUGUACUCCUGGCCACCAAGGUCACCUGAAUUCAAAAAUUCAAAAAAAGUAAUAAUUCAAAACCUGAGUGACAAUUCAGGGUCAAGGAGCACCCCCAAUCUAUGAACCUUGCCCUUUAGAGGGAGCACAAUCCAUCCAGGAGAGGUUGAAAAUUUAUGAUUUUUUUAUACUGUUGUAUUUAUUGAAUUUAUUUGUAAGCUGUCCAGAGACGCAUAGUGAUUGGAUAGGUUAGAAAUAUCCCAAUAAAUAAAUAAGCUUUCCCAGUUGGACAGACAGCCUACUCACCAACAGCAUCUGCAUCUUGUCUGGACUGAGUUUCAGUGUAAUAGUCUCAUCCAAUCCAUUACCAAGCCAAGGCACCAUUUUAGAUCAGUCACUGCCUCACCUGAAUUAGAUGAGAACAAGAAGUAGAGCUGAGUGUCCUCUGCAUAUUGGUGACUCUUCAGCCCAAACCUCUGGAUGACCUCAGCUAGUGGUUUCAUGUAGAUAUUAAACAGCAUGAGAGACAGAGCCCUGUGGAGUUCCAUGGCUCAAGUGGCAUAGCAUAAAGCUACAGUUUCCAGGUCUACCACCUGGAGACAGUUGUCCAGAUAGGAGCAGAGCCAUCACAGAGCAGUGUCCCCAGUUCUUAAACCAGCCAGCCUCUCAGAAGGAUACCAUGGUCAAUGGUAUUGAAAAGUGCUGAGAGGUUCAGGACAAUCAACGGGGUCCUGCUUCUCCUGUCUCCUCACAAAGCUCAUCCCACAGGGAAUUCCUUUACCAAAGCUGGGCCUAAAGCCCAACUGAAAUAGAUCUAGAUAAUUUGUUUCUUCUAAGAGUGCUUGGAGUUGCCUGGCCACAACUCAUUUGAGCACCUUGCUAGGAAGGGAACAUUCAUUGGCUAUAAGUUGAUAAUUAUUUAUAUCCCCAGGAUCCAGGAGUUGCUUUUUAAGAAGUGGUAUAACCACCACCAUUUAGAUGGCUGAAAUACAGUAAUAUUUUUGUAAGUAGUUGACUUUUUUUCAUUAGGACUUGAUUGAGGUGCAGUUUUUAGAUUACACCCUAUCCUAUCCCACCUCACCCCCAUGAGAUUAAUGUGUAUUUUAAAUAUAGCUAAUCAGUCCAGCCACUUUUGGAGACCCUUCUGCUUAUUCUGUUUUUAAUUUCUCCCCUGCAGGGUCUGUUCUAUUUCAUUCUAGCUGCAUAUGUUGGAAGCUGUAUUUCAAUACACCUGAAGGCAUCAGAUUGGGGAACAAUUAUAUGAUUCCCAUACAAAUUAUAACUUCUUCUAACACAAUAGCUAAACAAAAUUGGCAUUUAAGAUGGAAGGAGAACAGGCAGUACUUUCUGAAACUCGGAGGAAUCUUUACUGAGACUUUCUGUAAAAUCUGAAGCUAAAAAUAGCUCAUCUUUUAAAAGCCCUAGAACUAAUGAGUCUGAAAGCCUGACAGUGGGCCCUAAAGUGCAGCCAUAUGACAAAGGCAACAAAGGUGGUUAAGCUGCCAUUGGUCCAGCUUCCAAAGUAAGGGAACUGAGGCAAGAAUGGUAAGCCCCUGUCUGACCCUUGGAAAAGUAAAUAAAUGAGGUCUUUCAACAGGGCUAUUGGACAGUUUAAACAUGUGAUAAAUAAAUAAAAUUGCCAAAAAAAAAAAAAAAGCAAAAACACAAACCCGCAGCUAUGGAUUUUGGUCUAGCAGAGGAAUGAAAAAGAAAGCUACUAUGGUCUAAUUCAGAAUUGUAGGAAAAGUUGGAGGACCUUGAAAAUUAUUACAGAUACCUAAAUCUGAGAUUUUGAUGACUCCAGGAACACGUGAAAAUGAUUGGAUUUUGACAUCUUUUCCCCCAAAGAAAUAUAGAGGGCUAUUUCAUGGACUCACAGUGCUCUACAAGCUAAACCUGCAGUAGGAGCGUAUCCAUGGGGUACCAUUGUAUGCUUCAUUAAAAAGGCAGAAAAAUAAGCCAUUUUGGCAGGAUCCAGAUUGGAUAUCCAAUGUCAGUAUGAAAACAGCCCCAUGCAACUAUUUGAGGACUUUAUUUAUUUAGUGGAUUUAUAUGCCGCUAUAAUAGCCCAUAUCAAUUUGAGCCCUGACACUCUUCAGAGACAAUAGGAGCUUAAAAACUGUGCUGAAAAGCUUAGAUUUCUAAACAUAUACUACAGAUGGGGACACCCAGCUAAAGUAAUAAUUAAAAUGGAUGUCACUACCACAGUUAUUCCAUCGCAUCAGGAGGCCAGACAAUUCCAUAUGCACAUGAAUCUAAGUCCUGGAGAAAAUCUAGUGCAGAAAUAGGGAAAGAGCGCAAUUAAUAAGAAACCAGCAACAAAGAACUUGAUUGGCAAUCUCAGUGAAAACACAGUCAACAAUUAAUCCUAACCAGUCCUGUGAAUUCUAUCAAGGGCACAGUUAAAAUGUAUUCUAGGGAUUUUCAAGUCUCAAGUACUUAACAGUUGUGCUAUACAUUGUGUUUCACCUUGAAUACAUUAAUAUUUACAUGGGUGUCAGGAGAGGAUAUUUUGCCUCCUAAUGUUCUUGGUUUCACUUUACCCUUCUCUAGGGUCACAGAAUUGGAGUUGGGCAUUCAUCCUAAGAUGAUGACUGGUUUAGCUAUAUUCAUUUUAUUGGUCUAGUAUAGAGCAGAAUGUUAUAGUUCUCUCUUGUCAGUCUCAAUACACCAAGCAAGACUUAGAUGUAGCCAUCUUAAACAUUUCAAAAACA